Molecule: ribosomal RNA, 490 nt
Filed under: uncultured bacterium
Lineage: Bacteria
Description: partial 16S ribosomal RNA
Rfam family: Bacterial small subunit ribosomal RNA
Source: RNAcentral
AUUGAACGCUGGCGGCAGGCCUAACACAUGCAAGUCGAACGGUAACAGGAAACAGCUUGCUGUUUCGCUGACGAGUGGCGGACGGGUGAGUAAUGUCUGGGAAACUGCCUGAUGGAGGGGGAUAACUACUGGAAACGGUAGCUAAUACCGCAUAACGUCGCAAGACCAAAGAGGGGGACCUUCGGGCCUCUUGCCAUCGGAUGUGCCCAGAUGGGAUUAGCUAGUAGGUGGGGUAACGGCUCACCUAGGCGACGAUCCCUAGCUGGUCUGAGAGGAUGACCAGCCACACUGGAACUGAGACACGGUCCAGACUCCUACGGGAGGCAGCAGUGGGGAAUAUUGCACAAUGGGCGCAAGCCUGAUGCAGCCAUGCCGCGUGUAUGAAGAAGGCCUUCGGGUUGUAAAGUACUUUCAGCGGGGAGGAAGGGAGUAAAGUUAAUACCUUUACUCAUUGACGGUACCCGCAGAAGAAGCACCGGCUAACUCCGUG